This 499-nucleotide ribosomal RNA is filed under the name uncultured soil bacterium. RNAcentral describes it as "bacterial SSU rRNA". It matches the Rfam family "Bacterial small subunit ribosomal RNA", at positions 26 to 503 of the family's 1533-position model. The record is from RNAcentral.
AGAACGAACGCUGGCGGCGUGCCUAACACAUGCAAGUCGAACGAGAAAGGGGCUUCGGCUCCGAGUAAAGUGGCGCACGGGUGAGUAACACGUAGGUAACCUGCCUCUAAGAUUGGGAUAACUUGUCGAAAGACGAGCUAAUACCAAAUAAGACCACGGUCUCCUCGGGGACAGAGGUCAAAGGUAGCCUCUAUUUAUAAGCUAUCGCUGAGAGAUGGGCCUGCGUACCAUUAGCUUGUUGGUGAGGUAACGGCUCACCAAGGCAAAGAUGGUUAGCUGGUCUGAGAGGAUGAUCAGCCACACUGGAACUGAGACACGGUCCAGACUCCUACGGGAGGCAGCAGUGGGGAAUAUUGCGCAAUGGGCGAAAGCCUGACGCAGCAACGCCGCGUGAGUGAUGAAGCCUUCGGUCUAAAGCUCUGUCAGAGGAACGAAUGCUCCUGAAGUUAACAGCUUCGGGAGGUCGACGGUACCCUCGAAGGACGCCGACGGCUAACCG